RNAcentral lists this ribosomal RNA (2902 nucleotides) under Escherichia coli. Its description in RNAcentral is "bacterial LSU rRNA". It matches the Rfam family "Bacterial large subunit ribosomal RNA". The record is from RNAcentral. Lineage: Bacteria; Pseudomonadati; Pseudomonadota; Gammaproteobacteria; Enterobacterales; Enterobacteriaceae.
UUAAGCGACUAAGCGUACACGGUGGAUGCCCUGGCAGUCAGAGGCGAUGAAGGACGUGCUAAUCUGCGAUAAGCGUCGGUAAGGUGAUAUGAACCGUUAUAACCGGCGAUUUCCGAAUGGGGAAACCCAGUGUGUUUCGACACACUAUCAUUAACUGAAUCCAUAGGUUAAUGAGGCGAACCGGGGGAACUGAAACAUCUAAGUACCCCGAGGAAAAGAAAUCAACCGAGAUUCCCCCAGUAGCGGCGAGCGAACGGGGAGCAGCCCAGAGCCUGAAUCAGUGUGUGUGUUAGUGGAAGCGUCUGGAAAGGCGCGCGAUACAGGGUGACAGCCCCGUACACAAAAAUGCACAUGCUGUGAGCUCGAUGAGUAGGGCGGGACACGUGGUAUCCUGUCUGAAUAUGGGGGGACCAUCCUCCAAGGCUAAAUACUCCUGACUGACCGAUAGUGAACCAGUACCGUGAGGGAAAGGCGAAAAGAACCCCGGCGAGGGGAGUGAAAAAGAACCUGAAACCGUGUACGUACAAGCAGUGGGAGCACGCUUAGGCGUGUGACUGCGUACCUUUUGUAUAAUGGGUCAGCGACUUAUAUUCUGUAGCAAGGUUAACCGAAUAGGGGAGCCGAAGGGAAACCGAGUCUUAACUGGGCGUUAAGUUGCAGGGUAUAGACCCGAAACCCGGUGAUCUAGCCAUGGGCAGGUUGAAGGUUGGGUAACACUAACUGGAGGACCGAACCGACUAAUGUUGAAAAAUUAGCGGAUGACUUGUGGCUGGGGGUGAAAGGCCAAUCAAACCGGGAGAUAGCUGGUUCUCCCCGAAAGCUAUUUAGGUAGCGCCUCGUGAAUUCAUCUCCGGGGGUAGAGCACUGUUUCGGCAAGGGGGUCAUCCCGACUUACCAACCCGAUGCAAACUGCGAAUACCGGAGAAUGUUAUCACGGGAGACACACGGCGGGUGCUAACGUCCGUCGUGAAGAGGGAAACAACCCAGACCGCCAGCUAAGGUCCCAAAGUCAUGGUUAAGUGGGAAACGAUGUGGGAAGGCCCAGACAGCCAGGAUGUUGGCUUAGAAGCAGCCAUCAUUUAAAGAAAGCGUAAUAGCUCACUGGUCGAGUCGGCCUGCGCGGAAGAUGUAACGGGGCUAAACCAUGCACCGAAGCUGCGGCAGCGACGCUGAUGCGUUGUUGGGUAGGGGAGCGUUCUGUAAGCCUGCGAAGGUGUGCUGUGAGGCAUGCUGGAGGUAUCAGAAGUGCGAAUGCUGACAUAAGUAACGAUAAAGCGGGUGAAAAGCCCGCUCGCCGGAAGACCAAGGGUUCCUGUCCAACGUUAAUCGGGGCAGGGUGAGUCGACCCCUAAGGCGAGGCCGAAAGGCGUAGUCGAUGGGAAACAGGUUAAUAUUCCUGUACUUGGUGUUACUGCGAAGGGGGGACGGAGAAGGCUAUGUUGGCCGGGCGACGGUUGUCCCGGUUUAAGCGUGUAGGCUGGUUUUCCAGGCAAAUCCGGAAAAUCAAGGCUGAGGCGUGAUGACGAGGCACUACGGUGCUGAAGCAACAAAUGCCCUGCUUCCAGGAAAAGCCUCUAAGCAUCAGGUAACAUCAAAUCGUACCCCAAACCGACACAGGUGGUCAGGUAGAGAAUACCAAGGCGCUUGAGAGAACUCGGGUGAAGGAACUAGGCAAAAUGGUGCCGUAACUUCGGGAGAAGGCACGCUGAUAUGUAGGUGAAGCGACUUGCUCGUGGAGCUGAAAUCAGUCGAAGAUACCAGCUGGCUGCAACUGUUUAUUAAAAACACAGCACUGUGCAAACACGAAAGUGGACGUAUACGGUGUGACGCCUGCCCGGUGCCGGAAGGUUAAUUGAUGGGGUCAGCGCAAGCGAAGCUCUUGAUCGAAGCCCCGGUAAACGGCGGCCGUAACUAUAACGGUCCUAAGGUAGCGAAAUUCCUUGUCGGGUAAGUUCCGACCUGCACGAAUGGCGUAAUGAUGGCCAGGCUGUCUCCACCCGAGACUCAGUGAAAUUGAACUCGCUGUGAAGAUGCAGUGUACCCGCGGCAAGACGGAAAGACCCCGUGAACCUUUACUAUAGCUUGACACUGAACAUUGAGCCUUGAUGUGUAGGAUAGGUGGGAGGCUUUGAAGUGUGGACGCCAGUCUGCAUGGAGCCGACCUUGAAAUACCACCCUUUAAUGUUUGAUGUUCUAACGUUGACCCGUAAUCCGGGUUGCGGACAGUGUCUGGUGGGUAGUUUGACUGGGGCGGUCUCCUCCUAAAGAGUAACGGAGGAGCACGAAGGUUGGCUAAUCCUGGUCGGACAUCAGGAGGUUAGUGCAAUGGCAUAAGCCAGCUUGACUGCGAGCGUGACGGCGCGAGCAGGUGCGAAAGCAGGUCAUAGUGAUCCGGUGGUUCUGAAUGGAAGGGCCAUCGCUCAACGGAUAAAAGGUACUCCGGGGAUAACAGGCUGAUACCGCCCAAGAGUUCAUAUCGACGGCGGUGUUUGGCACCUCGAUGUCGGCUCAUCACAUCCUGGGGCUGAAGUAGGUCCCAAGGGUAUGGCUGUUCGCCAUUUAAAGUGGUACGCGAGCUGGGUUUAGAACGUCGUGAGACAGUUCGGUCCCUAUCUGCCGUGGGCGCUGGAGAACUGAGGGGGGCUGCUCCUAGUACGAGAGGACCGGAGUGGACGCAUCACUGGUGUUCGGGUUGUCAUGCCAAUGGCACUGCCCGGUAGCUAAAUGCGGAAGAGAUAAGUGCUGAAAGCAUCUAAGCACGAAACUUGCCCCGAGAUGAGUUCUCCCUGACCCUUUAAGGGUCCUGAAGGAACGUUGAAGACGACGACGUUGAUAGGCCGGGUGUGUAAGCGCAGCGAUGCGUUGAGCUAACCGGUACUAAUGAACCGUGAGGCUUAACCUU